RNAcentral lists this ribosomal RNA (449 nucleotides) under uncultured bacterium. RNAcentral's name for it is "bacterial SSU rRNA". It matches the Rfam family "Bacterial small subunit ribosomal RNA", at positions 329 to 795 of the family's 1533-position model. The record is from RNAcentral.
UUCCAGACUCCUACGGGAGGCAGCAGUGGGGAAUAUUGCACAAUGGGGGAAACCCUGAUGCAGCGACGCCGCGUGAGUGAAGAAGUAUUUCGGUAUGUAAAGCUCUAUCAGCAGGGAAGAAAAUGACGGUACCUGACUAAGAAGCCCCGGCUAACUACGUGCCAGCAGCCGCGGUAAUACGUAGGGGGCAAGCGUUAUCCGGAUUUACUGGGUGUAAAGGGAGCGUAGACGGCAUGGCAAGUCAGAUGUGAAAGCCCGGGGCUCAACCCCGGGACUGCAUUUGAAACUGUCAGGCUGGAGUGCAGGAGAGGUAAGUGGAAUUCCUAGUGUAGCGGUGAAAUGCGUAGAUAUUAGGAGGAACACCAGUGGCGAAGGCGGCUUACUGGACUGUAACUGACGUUGAGGCUCGAAAGCGUGAGGAGCAAACAGGAUUAGAUACCCUAGUAAUC